AGCGAACGCUGGCGGCAGGCUUAACACAUGCAAGUCGAGCGCCCCGCAAGGGGAGCGGCAGACGGGAGAGUAACACGUGGGAACGUACCCUUCAGUUCGGAACAACCCAGGGAAACUUGGGCUAAUACCGAAUACGUCCGUAAGGAGAAAGAUUUAUCGCUGAAGGAUCGGCCCGCGUCUGAUUAGCUAGUUGGUGAGGUAACGGCUCACCAAGGCGACGAUCAGUAGCUGGUCUGAGAGGAUGAUCAGCCUCACUGGGACUGAGACACGGCCCAGACUCCUACGGGAGGCAGCAGUGGGGAAUAUUGGACAAUGGGCGCAAGCCUGAUCCAGCCAUGCCGCGUGAGUGAUGAAGGCCUUAGGGUUGUAAAGCUCUUUUAACGGGGAAGAUAAUGACGGUACCCGUAGAAUAAGCCCCGGCUAACUUCGUGCCAGCCGCCGCAGUAA
This 447-nucleotide ribosomal RNA is filed under the name uncultured bacterium. RNAcentral's name for it is "partial 16S ribosomal RNA". It matches the Rfam family "Bacterial small subunit ribosomal RNA", at positions 29 to 523 of the family's 1533-position model. The record is from RNAcentral.